CAGCCGCCGCGGUAACACGAAGGGGGCUAGCGUUGCUCGGAAUGACUGGGCGUAAAGGGCGCGUAGGCGGUUCGUACAGUUGGAUGUGAAAUUCCUGGGCUUAACCUGGGGGCUGCAUUCAAUACGUGCGGGCUUGAGUGUGGAAGAGGGUUGUGGAAUUCCCAGUGUAGAGGUGAAAUUCGUAGACAUUGGGAAGAACACCGGUGGCGAAGGCGGCAACCUGGUCCAUAACUGACGCUGAGGCGCGAAAGCGUGGGGAGCAAACAGGAUUAGAGACCCCGGUAGUCCCUGUCUCUUAUAC
Molecule: ribosomal RNA, 301 nt
Filed under: uncultured bacterium
Lineage: Bacteria
Description: partial 16S ribosomal RNA
Rfam family: Bacterial small subunit ribosomal RNA
Source: RNAcentral